AGGGCAAUAUUUCUAUCAAGGUAUGCAUAGUUUGGAUCUUUAUUAUGAUCACGUCCUUUGUCCUUUCUGAAUUUUGUUUCUGUUGAGACAUCCAUGGAAAUGGAUACCUUUCAUCCAUUUCGCAUUCCAUAACAUCUCAGGGCAAAUUUUACUUUCUUAAGAGGAAUUCUACCUUUAAUGCUUAUAACAUAACCUUGGACAUGCCUGUCAAUCGAGACCAGAAAACCAUAGGAAUUGCCUAUGGUUCUUCCUGCAAGGGGAACUCCUCACAGGGGAGCCUAUUCACUUGCCUGUGAAGUCUAGGGGUGGACCAGUUGAUGUUUCCUCUGAUACAUAUAUAUGUAUACAUUUCAUUUUCUUUCUUGUUUAGUAGUGAAUUCUCUGAUGGUUGUUUGCAUAUUUUAAUUCCUUAAUCUUUUCAUAAUGUACAUAUGUGUAUUUACAAUAUAUUAGAUCUAAUACUAUUGAUGGUGUAGGAUGGGGUAGUGUAUUUUUGCAUGUUCAUUGCUCAUGCUUCUGGAUGGUAAAAGGACUGUACACUGCAGGAAGGGGCAGCCUUUAAAUAGAGAAAAGAAUAUCAGUACAUUGUCAGUGGUGCAUCAUGGUUCACUAUACACAAGUUUAAAUGGGCAAUAAUUAAAAGAUAUUUAGUCUAUAUUAGUUUAUAAUUUAUAUGUUUUUACCACUUUUGGUUGCUGGUGCCAUAUUAUUCGUUGAUCAUAACUUUUUUCUUUAAUCUCAUUACAGGAGCUUAGUGACAUGACA
Molecule: unclassified non-coding RNA, 765 nt
Filed under: Hevea brasiliensis (rubber tree)
Lineage: Eukaryota; Viridiplantae; Streptophyta; Magnoliopsida; Malpighiales; Euphorbiaceae
Source: RNAcentral